Molecule: ribosomal RNA, 253 nt
Filed under: uncultured bacterium
Lineage: Bacteria
Description: partial 16S ribosomal RNA
Rfam family: Bacterial small subunit ribosomal RNA
Source: RNAcentral
UACGUAGGGGGCAAGCGUUGUCCGGAUUUAUUGGGCGUAAAGAGCGUGUAGGCGGCCUGACAAGUCUGCUGUGAAAACUCGAGGCUCAACCUCGAGAUGUCGGCGGAAACUGUCUGGCUAGAGUCCGGAAGAGGAGAGUGGAAUUCCUGGUGUAGCGGUGAAAUGCGUAGAGAUCAGGAAGAACACCAGUGGCGAAGGCGCUCUGCUAGGCCGUAACUGACACUGAGGGACGAAAGCUAGGGGAGCGAAUGGG